Molecule: long non-coding RNA, 153 nt
Organism: Bufo bufo (common toad)
Lineage: Eukaryota; Metazoa; Chordata; Amphibia; Anura; Bufonidae
Exons: 3
Source: RefSeq, a predicted model, not a curated record
AUCCUCCUAAACUCAGCAGGCCUUUGGGAAACAUGUGUUGUCAAAAUACAGUUGAAACUUUGUUAAACAAUGCUGGUAUCUGCUAUAUACAAUACUUGCAAAAGAGCUAUUUUACAUUGAACAGGGUUUCCUCUAUAUGCUAACAAGGUGAAU